Harpia harpyja (harpy eagle) is the source of this 395-nucleotide long non-coding RNA. RefSeq lists it as uncharacterized. The record is from RefSeq and is a predicted model, not a curated record. NCBI's taxonomy places the organism in Eukaryota, Metazoa, Chordata, Aves, Accipitriformes, Accipitridae. The transcript is spliced from 4 exons.
CUGCUUUCUGUAGGGAGAGAUGAUGCCGACCUCUUUGGGCGAGACGCUGGGGCAGCCCCCCUUGCCCCGGCUCUGCAGCAGCUUCUUGAGCUCCUCCCAGGCGCAAUACAGACUCCGGACAUCGAGCUCGUCGCUCUCGCAGGCCUUCAGCUCGCUGUCGUAGAAGAGCUCAUUGGGGAUCUUGAGGAUAGCCUCGUGGGACCUGGCAGAGGCAGGACUGUGCCCAGGGGGGUUGUGCAGCAUCAGCCUCUCCAGCAGCGAGAUGCCUGUGCCCAGUAAGACCCCGUGGCUCCCUGCGAGGCCACUCGGCCCCUGGGCCGCACAGAGAUGUUGGUCCCCAAGACGGCAGCCGCGCACCACUCACCCGCGAUAGCAACCAUGCUCUCCGGCUCUAC